CCAAUAGCGUAUAUUAAAGUUGUUGCAGUUAAAAAGCUCGUAGUUGAAUUUUGGGUCUGGCCGGGCGGUCCGCCCUCCGGGUGAGCACUGUUCCGACGCCGGACCUAUCCUUCUGGUGAGUCGGCAUGUCCUUUAUUGGGUGUGUCGGGGAACCAGGACCAUUACCUUGAAAAAAUUAGAGUGUUCAAAGCAGGCGUAUGCUCGGAUACAUUAGCAUGGAAUAAUGAAAUAGGACGCGUGGUGCUAUUUUGUUGGUUUCUAGAACCGCCGUAAUGAUUAAUAGGGAUAGUUGGGGGCAUUAGUAUUCAAUUGUCAGAGGUGAAAUUCUUGGAUUUAUUGAAGACUAACUUCUGCGAAAGCAUUUGCCAAGGAUGUUUUCAUUAAUCAAGAACGAAAGUUAGGGGAUCGAAGACGAUCAGAUACCGUCGUAGUCUUAACCAUAAACUAUGCCGACUAGGAAUCGGGCGAUGUUAUUCUCAUGACUCGCCCGGCGCCUUAUG
This 500-nucleotide ribosomal RNA is filed under the name uncultured Glomeromycotina. RNAcentral describes it as "partial small subunit ribosomal RNA". It matches the Rfam family "Eukaryotic small subunit ribosomal RNA", at positions 591 to 1092 of the family's 1831-position model. The record is from RNAcentral. Lineage: Eukaryota; Fungi; Glomeromycota.